AUUAAACAGCAUGUCAAGCAAAAAGGCAAAAAGACCACCAAGAAGUUUGCCAUGUUUGACCAGUCACAGAUUCAGGAGUUCAAAGAGGCCUUCAACAUGAUUGAUCAGAACAGAGAUGGUUUCAUUGACAAGGAAGAUUUGCAUGAUAUGCUUGCCUCCCUAGGGAAGAAUCCCGCUGAAUGCAUACCUUGAAGUCAUGAUGAAUGAGGCUCCAGGCCCCAUCAAUUUCAUCAUGUUCCUCACCAUGUUUGGUGAGAAGUUAAAUGGCACAGAUCCAGAAGAUGUCAUCAGAAAUGUUUUUGCCUGCUUUGGUGAAGAAGCAACAGGAACCAUUCAGGAAGAUUACCUGAGAGAGCUGCUGACAACCAUGGGAGAUGGGUUUACAGAUGAGGAAGUGAAUGAGCUGUAUAGAGAAGCACCUAUUGACAAAAAGGGGAAUUUUAAUUACAUUGAGUUCACGUGCAUCCUUAAACAUGGAGCAAAAGACAAAGAAGGAAGUCUAGCUGAAACCUUCCAUUUGCAUUGUUCUGCUCUUUCACUUCUCAGACAUUUCCCCCACCCUCAUAGAAUCUUCUGCAUGCAACUUAGUUUCACAGCUUUGCCUUUUUUUUUUUUUUUUGAAGUAUUUAUUCCAAAUCUUUCUGCCACUUAGCACUUGUAUAAUCAGACUGGAAAUGGGGACAAGGUUGUAAAUUGUAUUGAAAAGAGAUUGAGAUUGAGAAUAAAAAUCAACGAAUGUGAAAGCCC
This is an RNA transcript of Nycticebus coucang (slow loris), 747 nucleotides long. It is a transcript of the gene named myosin regulatory light chain 12B-like, with no coding region annotated. The record is from RefSeq and is a predicted model, not a curated record. The transcript has a single exon. Lineage: Eukaryota; Metazoa; Chordata; Mammalia; Primates; Lorisidae.